This is a small nucleolar RNA of Arabis alpina (gray rockcress), 86 nucleotides long. It matches the Rfam family "Small nucleolar RNA snoR110". Lineage: Eukaryota; Viridiplantae; Streptophyta; Magnoliopsida; Brassicales; Brassicaceae. The record is from Rfam.
AGUACAUAACUUUCGCCUUGUAUGUUUUGAGUUUUCUCCUUUUUGUACGUAAGGAAAUCACUGUUUUACUUUGGUGGCAUAAAUCU